UAAAAUUUAAAAAAAAGCUGUCCAGUGCC
RNAcentral lists this non-coding RNA (29 nucleotides) under Mus musculus (house mouse). Lineage: Eukaryota; Metazoa; Chordata; Mammalia; Rodentia; Muridae. The record is from RNAcentral.